CCCUUAGAUGUUCUGGGCCGCACGCGCGCUACACUGAUGCAUUCAACGAGCCUAUCCUUGACCGACAGGUCCGGGUAAUCUUUGAAUCUGCAUCGUGACGGGGAUAGAUUAUUGCAAUUAUUAAUCUUCAACGAGGAAUGCCUAGUAGGCGCAAGUCAUCAGCUUGCGUCGAUUACGUCCCUGCCCUUUGUACACACCGCCCGUCGCUCCUACCGAUUGGGUGUGCUGGUGAAAUGUUCGGAUCGGCCGUUUGUCGCGGUUUCCGCGUCAUGUGGCUGAAAAGUUCAUUAAACCCUCCCACCUAGAGGAAGGAGAAGUCGUAACA
RNAcentral lists this ribosomal RNA (325 nucleotides) under uncultured eukaryote. RNAcentral's name for it is "partial 18S ribosomal RNA". It matches the Rfam family "Eukaryotic small subunit ribosomal RNA", at positions 1470 to 1796 of the family's 1831-position model. The record is from RNAcentral.